UGGGGAAUAUCGCACAAUGGGCGAAAGCCUGAUGCAGCAACGCCGCGUGAGUGAUGAAGGCCUUCGGGUUGUAAAGCUCUGUCUUUUGGGACGAUAAUGACGGUACCAAAGGAGGAAGCCACGGCUAACUACGUGCCAGCAGCCGCGGUAAUACGUAGGUGGCAAGCGUUGUCCGGAUUUACUGGGCGUAAAGGAUGCGUAGGCGGAUUUUUAAGUGAGAUGUGAAAACCCUAAGCUUAACUUGGGGACUGCAUUUCAUACUGGAAAUCUAGAGUGCGGGAGAGGAGAAUGGAAUUCCUAGUGUAGCGGUGAAAUGCGUAGAGAUUAGGAAGAACACCAGUGGCGAAGGCGAUUCUCUAGACCGUAACUGACGCUGAGGCAUGAAAGCGUGGGUAGCAAACAGGAUUAGAUACCCUGGUAGUCCACGCCGUAAACGAUGAGUACUAGGUGUAGGAGGUAUCGACCCCUUCUGUGCCGCAGUUAACACAAUAAGUACUCUGCCUGGGGAAGU
Molecule: ribosomal RNA, 511 nt
Filed under: uncultured bacterium
Lineage: Bacteria
Description: partial 16S ribosomal RNA
Rfam family: Bacterial small subunit ribosomal RNA
Source: RNAcentral